CUCCUCCCUGGCACUCUUCCUCUUUGCCCUCAUUUGUAAUUUCUACCCUAGCUCAUCCCUCCCCUGCAGCCUUCCCUAACCCUAGAUCGACGGGGCCGCCAUCUCAUCUCCUCUUCCAGAAGGCGGGAGUAGCAGUGAAGACCACCAUGGAAUGCUACUCUGUCGGUGACCAAGGACGGGAAAAACAAGGCCGUGUGAGGUGUGGAUGGAUUUGUGGACGGGCGAAGCCGCAUCACGGUCAUGGAUCAUCUUCCUUCUUAUCCCCACCAAAAGUUUCGUUUAUCUUUUGGAGGCCAGAAAUCUCCCUUCUUAUCCCCACCAAAAUUUCGUUUAUCUUUUGGAGGCCAGAAAUAUGGUAUUUCUUUCUAUGGAAGACAUCAGUUUUGCAUCCGAGUUAUUCGUUUGAAUGGAAUGUUUAUCUCCUUCACCAGGCUGAAGGAUGUUCGCCACAACUUAAAAGCAGGUCAAUCAUGUUUAAAUUGCCUUUCUAAAUUGGCUUUCACAUGUAUGGCAGGCUGGCAGCAGCACCAUAGGAAUUAGUCCUCAACCAAGACUUGGAAUAUUUACUCGAGUGAGUACUGAGGAGCACAACUCGGGUCAUGCGUGAGAAUUAGGAGGGCAUCGGUCAUCUGCAACUUUAGAUCGUUCCCAAGGUGGUAAAGCUUAUUCCUUUCCCAAAGCUUAUUCAUUAUUAUGCAUAUUUAUUUAACUUACCUUUCAUCAGAUUAAUGCGAUUAACACAAUCCAAUACGAAAAGGUUAGCAAUUGCAGAAGGUUCAUCUAGAUAAUUCAAUCUCCUUACUAUUUAUCCAAACAAACAUACAGUAAUGUUUUAUUUUACCUUUGUAUAAAUCCCCAUGCAAAGUUUAGAUGACCAAUGUGCGCUUAUUUUUAUUUGGUGCUAUGUAAACCUGUAUGCAAGUAAGCUUUACAUCAGUGUUUUCAAAAUAUACCAGCGAUUGAAAGCAGAGGGUGGAUGCAGCUGGUGUUCGUGGUGGCGUGGCCCGGAAGGUGGCACCAUGUUUCUCGCCUGCAGCUUCCUACUCUUAUUAUAUCCCAUAUCUUUCGUUGUGUACAGUCGAUUACCACUGCACACCUCUGCUUGCUUCGUCUGUUCAAUUAUUUCAGCUUUGUCGCGGUUGCGACUUUCCGCUCUCUGUGUUGUGUUUGGAUGACAAACGGUUGAAACUGAUGAUGGUGUUGGCACAAAUCGUCUUGGCGUCCAGAGAGAGAAAGUUUGGAUGGAAGGGAGCCAAGAGGUAAGAUGGUGCACAAGCUUGUUGAAACUUCCUACUAUCCCAAGACACUGGACGCCAACUUCACUCAAGGCAAAAGGAAUUAUUUCAGUAUCUCAGACAUGCUUCUAUGGUAUCGAGUUAUCUAAUCUUUAUAGCAUAGUUUGUUGGAGGAAAAAGAAAGUAUAUUUUCGUGGAGAUUGUAUUUUAUUGUUUUGACAAUACUUUUUCGUUGGCUUACAGUGGCUUAUUCUCUGAAUUGGUUUUGCAGGUAGGAAGGUGUUACUGGACAGCUAAUAGCAGACAAAACAAUUUACUGUAAAUUUCUUCGAAGAUCUUGAAUCUUACUCAACAGUUUUGAUCUCCCUAUGACAGUCAAAGGGGUAAAUCUAUUUGGCAGUCCACAUCUUUUGCAAAGCUUCCAUAUGAGGUUUGGACACAAGCUCAGGCUCAUUUGCGUAAUUUUUUUUGUAGUUCACCACAAGAUAUCAAUGCCUGCUUAUAUAUCCUCUAUAAUGUGAUAGAAAACCACGAUGGUUUUGUGGCCAAAAGUAGUGAUAGAAUAUCAUCUUUUGACUUUAGUACUGAAUGAGUAGAGCUCCAUUCUACCAGAGGAAAGUGUAUUCUUUGGUGACAUGCAACAUGUUGGUUGUUAGUUUGCUUCACCGGUUAAUUAUUUCUUAGAAAAACAUCAAUUUCUACUUUUGAAAAGGGCAGCGACAUAUUUGAGUUUGAUGCUUGCAGUUAUAGACUUGUAGUUAUUAAUUUUGUUUUGGUCUUUAUAGUUUCUCUGACCAUCCAAAGUAUGAGUGUUUAUUUAUCUAAAUAAGUGUAGUCCGAGAGUAGUAGAGAGGAGUAGAGGACACUACUGUCCUGAGCAUCUAUUACUAAAUUACACACCUAAACCUGUUGUAAUGUCCAAACAUUCAGCGGGCAUAGCAUCGGGCAUGUUCUUGCUCCAUCAUUUAGCUGAUCAAAAGCGAUCGCUGAUUCUUUUGUGCAGGGAAUUUUCAUAGUAUAAUUUUUCAUCCAUGCCUUUCACAGAGUGCCUUUAUGGAGUACCGUGUGUCACCCUUAGGCUAAAGAAUUGCCCUAUUCUGGCACUAUUUUUUUUCUUUGUUUUCUGAGCUGUGUUAUUAGCCCCUUCUUCCAAAUAUCCACACUUCAACUGUUCUAACAUUCUGGUGAAUAUGUAUUUGCAACUCUGAUUGCUAAGUUAUGCUUAUCAACAAAGAGGACGUGAAGGCGAACACUCGAGAGGAGGGGGGCUCCCCUCGUGAGGGCAUGCUUGACACAACGCGGACCUGCUACUCGAAGUAUGUAGUUGUAACAUCCAUAGCCGUUUUGGCUGCUGCCCUCCAAUACCUGAUGUUCUAUAUGCCAGGGCCUCAUGACAAUGUAAUCGUGCAGUAUCUUGUGUUUCGUUCUUUUUCGUUUUUGGUAUGUCUUCUUUUCAGUUUUGCUUGUUAGUAAGCAAUUUUGGGUGUUUUAUGUAUAUUUCUUGCAAGAGCUGUCAAUGUUUCCA
Long non-coding RNA from Lolium perenne, 2760 nucleotides. RefSeq lists it as uncharacterized. Lineage: Eukaryota; Viridiplantae; Streptophyta; Magnoliopsida; Poales; Poaceae. The record is from RefSeq and is a predicted model, not a curated record.